Molecule: ribosomal RNA, 496 nt
Filed under: uncultured bacterium
Lineage: Bacteria
Description: partial 16S ribosomal RNA
Rfam family: Bacterial small subunit ribosomal RNA
Source: RNAcentral
GAUGAACGCUGGCGGCGUGCCUAAUACAUGCAAGUCGAGCGAACAGAUGAGGAGCUUGCUCCUCUGACGUUAGCGGCGGACGGGUGAGUAACACGUGGAUAACCUACCUAUAAGACUGGGAUAACUUCGGGAAACCGGAGCUAAUACCGGAUAAUAUAUUGAACCGCAUGGUUCAAUAGUGAAAGACGGUUUUGCUGUCACUUAUAGAUGGAUCCGCGCCGCACUAGCUAGUUGGUAAGGUAACGGCUUACCAAGGCAACGAUGCGUAGCCGACCUGAGAGGGGGAUCGGCAACAGGGGAACUGGGAACGGGACAAGCCACAAAGGGGGGGCAGAAGAGGGAAAACUUCCCAAAGGGGGGAAAGCCGGACGGAGAAACGCCGGGGGGGGGAUGAGGGUCUUGGGAACGUAAAACUUUGUUAUUGGGAAAAAAAAAAUGGGAAAGUAACUAUGCACGUCUUGAGGGGACCUAAUCAAAAAGCCACGGCAAACUACGU